RNAcentral lists this ribosomal RNA (1638 nucleotides) under Triticum aestivum (bread wheat). RNAcentral describes it as "partial small subunit ribosomal RNA". Lineage: Eukaryota; Viridiplantae; Streptophyta; Magnoliopsida; Poales; Poaceae. The record is from RNAcentral.
AUGGGCUCCGCCUCCGCCUCCUCGCUCCCGACAUCCGCCGGCGCUGGCGAGAACUUGGUCCUCAUUCUCGACUUCGGCUCGCAGUACACCCAGCUCAUCACCCGCCGCGUCCGGCAGCUGGGAGUCCUCUCACUGUGCGUCUCCGGCACCGCGCCGCUCUCCUCCCUCACCGGGCUACGUCCCCGCGCCGUCAUACUCUCCGGCGGACCCCACUCCGUCCACGCCUCGGGCGCGCCCUCCUUCCCUGAGGGAUUCCUCGAUUUCGCUGCCGAAGCGGGCGCGCAUGUUCUGGGCGUGUGCUACGGUAUGCAGCUCCUAGUUCAGUCCCUCGGCGGCGCCGUCGAGGCUGGCGAGCGGCAGGAGUACGGCGAUAUGGAGGUAGAGACUACUGCGACGUCCUCCGCGCUGUACGGCGAGAACGGGGUGGGGAACAGACAGUCGGUGUGGAUGAGCCACGGCGACGAGGUGGUCAGACUGCCUCAGGGGUUCGAGGUUGUGGCACGAAGUGUGCAGGGCGCAAUCGCAGCCAUCGAGCAUCGGGAGAAGCGUUUUUAUGGACUCCAGUACCACCCGGAGGUGACACAUUCGACCCAAGGAAAGGAAACACUGCGCCGCUUUCUUUUUGAUGUUUGUGGGAUUAAAGCUGACUGGAAGAUUCAGGAUGUGCUGGAUGAGGAAAUUAAGAACAUCAAAAGUAUGGUCGGGACUGAUGAACAUGUGAUUUGCGCGUUAUCAGGAGGAGUUGAUUCGACAGUUGCAGCCACACUCGUUCAUAACGCAAUAGGUGAUAGGCUUCAUUGUGUUUUUGUUGACAAUGGUCUAUUGAGAUACAAGGAGAAGGAACGAGUAAUGUCAACCUUCAAUAGUGACUUGCACCUUCCUGUCACAUGUAUUGAUGCCUCGGAGCAAUUUCUUAGCAAGUUAAAAGGAGUCAAAGACCCAGAGAUGAAAAGAAAGAUUGUUGGCAAAGAAUUCAUAGCUGUCUUUGAUGAAUUUGCUCACAUGUUAGAACAGCAGACAGGAAAAAGACCUGAAUAUUUAGUUCAAGGAACAUUAUACCCUGAUGUGAUUGAAUCAUGCCCACCCCCUGGGAGUGGUAUGACACAUUCCCACACCAUCAAAAGCCAUCACAAUGUAGGUGGUCUUCCUGAAGAUAUGAAAUUGAAGCUCAUUGAACCACUCAAGCUCCUAUUUAAGGAUGAGGUGCGGAAGUUGGGCAGUAUCUUAAAUAUCCCAGAGUCAUUCUUAAAGCGACAUCCAUUUCCCGGGCCUGGUCUUGCUGUACGUAUCCCAUCAGGUGAUGUUACAGAAGGCAAUGCUUUGGAGGUUCUUCGUCAGGCGGAUGAGAUAUAUGUUCAAGCCAUUAGAGAUGCAGGACUCUAUGAUACAAUUUGGCAAGCUUUUGCUGUGCUUUUGCCUGUCGAAACAGUUGGGGUCCAGGGUGACCAGAGAACUUACGGCUAUCCGGUUAUUUUAAAGGCAAUUACCAGUGAGGAUGGCAUGACUGCAGAUUGGUAUUAUUUUGAACGCAAGUUCCUGGCCGAUGUGUCGAAUAGGAUCUGCAACAAUGUGCGAGGCGUUAACCGUGUUUGCCUGGAGAUAACAUCGAAGCCACCAGCGACAGUGGAGUGGGAAUAG